Molecule: long non-coding RNA, 1261 nt
Organism: Cygnus olor (mute swan)
Lineage: Eukaryota; Metazoa; Chordata; Aves; Anseriformes; Anatidae
Exons: 2
Source: RefSeq, a predicted model, not a curated record
CCUUGGGGAUGGAAAACCUGUAUGCAAAACCAAGAGGAAAGGAUUAAGUUUUUGCUGCUCUGCUACCACAAAUCCCCUGAACUAUGGUGUUCAGCUGGUGCUACAGUCCAGCAGAGUCCCGUGGGAGGCUGGCUGUGGCUGUACCACUUCCAGACCUGAAUUAACCUCCUGUCCUGUCAUUGCACAGGGCAGUAUGGCUGUAUCAGCGCAGACUGGCAAUAUGUCAGGUAUUUCUAAACCACACAUUAAGGCAUUAUUUAGAUGUGCCCAGGGGAGACUUAAGGCAAAGCAGACCUGCGUGCUCUGCGUCGGCUGGGACAAGUGACCUGGCAUUUAAAAGUCUGUGCUAAUGGUGGCUUUACGGGGUUUACACAGGGCUGGUUGCAUCAGAAGUUUUAGUUUGGGCUAGAUGUGUGACUGGGACUCUGCACCUAGGAGAGAGAUUUUAAUUCCGAUUGUAAUUGCUGAUCAGAAAUGUCCUUUUGUUUUUAUUGGUUCCUUCAUGCUUUUUUUUUUUUUUGUAAGUGCUGAUCAAACAAAAGCUUAUGUACAGGGCAAGAGGGCUGGGGAGGGAAAAGCUGUACAGACAUGGAAACCUUUAUGAAUGGUGUACAAGACAGCUAUUUCAAAAGAGAGAGGAUUUUGCACUCAUUUCUUCACGAAACUUCUAACAGCUUCAGAUUUCAUGUCUUUUUUAGGUCUGAAUGAGCAUGGUAGCAUUUAACAUUUUUGUGGGCUUUCCUUAAAAUGUAUGAGCAGAUUCACAUUCCAGUGAAACGAAGCAGGCAUAAAUCGAGCCUAACUGGACAACUGUGUCGAGCUCCCUGCUGUUUGAUAUCUUGGGAUCAAGCUGCAAGACGAGCUGGGCUGUACUGGAUAAACUAGCCAACUUUGCUAGACUGAUGACUGCCAGAAGAAAUUACAGGAUAGCUGCACAAACCCAACUAAUCAAUAUAGGCUCAACCGUAUGACAGGUAAAGAGCACUGUGAGAGCUGUUCUAGGUAAAUAUGAUAAACUCUUCAAAUUAGUCUGCAGUCAGAUUGGUGCAAGGGUAGAUACAGAAACAUAUUUUCAUUGCCAUCUGCAUCUCAAGGCCUUUUUUGAUGUAAAUACUGUUAAGUACAGUUGAAGUUAAUGUAAUUGUGGUUGUUUAUAUCAGAAAAGAACUUCUGCUGGCUAUCACUCAUUUAAAAAGUAGGCUUCUCAAAGAAAAAAUCGUGUUUCUCUAGCAGAAAUUAAAGAUUUUUUCAUACCAAUUGC